Molecule: long non-coding RNA, 450 nt
Filed under: Vulpes vulpes (red fox)
Lineage: Eukaryota; Metazoa; Chordata; Mammalia; Carnivora; Canidae
Description: lncRNA (ENSVVUG00000026449.1)
Source: RNAcentral
GGAGGCGUUGGGGGCUGGGAUCCAAGCUCCACUCAGAAAUCCCUUCAACCAGAAUAGCACCUCGGCUUGGUUAAAAUUCUUAUUUCUUUUUAAUUUGUCUACCAUAUAGGUAAGGUUUCAUUUGAGAAAAAAAAAGUGUUCUACAUUUUUAAAUGGUCAGAGGUUCACUAUCAUUAGAAGAGAAACAUUAAGGUCUGCUCUUCCAAGACUGGGCAUUUGUGCUCUAGAUUACAGCUUUGCACCUGUCGCAUGGAUACUAUUGUCCCUUCCAGUCGAGGGCACAAAGGGCCUGGCAAGUAGACUGCUACAGAAAGAAGAGACCAGAAGAAACCACUGCUCAUCUGCCAGCCUCACAGCCAGAGCCACUUCAGCUACCAUCCCAGAAAAGCCCACCUAUCAGGAUUCUGGACAUUUUCCUCAGAGACCCUUGGGCUUCCUUUCUAAAUAAAU